GGGUUACAAGUGGUGGCUAUGGGGUUGAUGGUAAAUGACGAAUGCAGGAUUUCUUGAGGCCAAACUAUUUACUGAUUUUACCAAUUACAUUUUACAAGUAUGUUGUCUAAGUGACGGGCGCGAGACGACUAGCGUCUGCGCAUUGAUCGCUACUGGAAGUUACUAGAAAGCUGACAUUGCAAAACGUGACUAUAACAUGUGUCGCUACAUCACUUCCCCCGUUUUUCAAAAUUUUGUCAAAAAUUUUCAAGUACAAUACGUAAUACCUAUGUUACAAAAGCCUCUCUUACGGAGCUUUAAACUUGAAACAUACAAUAUCAAACAAAACAGAAAUCACAAAAUUACAUUUCAAUACUGAUACAAAAUUAACAAAUCAAACUUAUAAAUCUCACACAAUAACCACUCGGUAUAACUACGUAGCACUUUGUUCACUCGCGACGCGCUUAUCACAUUCCGCUGACCGUGCAAGAUGAACGCUGCUACCUCGGUUCUGCGAAUUCGACCUCGUGUGUGAUUGAACCAUGUUGCAAGUUCUGAUCUAAAAAUAGCUUCUUUCUUAGCAUCUCUCAUCCAUCCUGGCGGGAACUUCCAUGAGGACCCUCGAGUGAGCCUCCGCGUGGGUGACCAGUCCACUAUGCUCCAGCUCGGCAGCCUCGCAGCGAGGAAACCGCCCAAAACUCGCUAACUCCAGAAGCGCCGAUUACCGCCCGUUGACCUUCCGUCGUGAACGCGCAAUCGUACCUUCUAUGUGUUCCGCUCGUCCAGGUCCUGACUUGAGAUGCUUCGAUACGCUGAUUUCUUCUUUGAUGCGUUACCAAAAUUUGUGAAGGGGUGGUGCACUUCCAGUAGAUGAUUUUCUAUUUCUUGAUGUUGUCGCCUGUUACCCCAUGGCCCUGCUGGGGGAGCCGUCUCGUCCACGCCGUUCCAUGCUGCGCCGCGUCAUCGCCGUGCUGACUCCAUCGUUUCUUCCAAAGGUUCCGUGUUCAGUUUGUCGGAGGUCACCAAUUUAGGGUUACAAAAUGGUGGCUAUGGGGUUGAUGGUAAAUGACGAAUGCAGGAUUUCUUGAGGCCAAACUAUUUACUGAUUUUACCAAUUACAUUUUACAAGUAUGUUGUCUAAGUGACGGGCGCGAGACGACUAGCGUCUGCGCAUUGAUCGCUACUGGAAGUUACUAGAAAGCUGACAUUGCAAAACGUGACUAUAACAUGUGUCGC
Molecule: non-coding RNA, 1215 nt
Organism: Plutella xylostella (diamondback moth)
Lineage: Eukaryota; Metazoa; Arthropoda; Insecta; Lepidoptera; Plutellidae
Source: RefSeq, a predicted model, not a curated record